CAGGGAUUGCCCUAGUAACGGCGAGUGAAGCGGCAACAGCUCAAAUUUGAAAUCUGGCCCUUGGGUCCGAGUUGUAAUUUGUAGAGGAUGCUUUUGGUACGGCGCCUUCCGAGUUCCCUGGAACGGGACGCCAUAGAGGGUGAGAGCCCCGUACGGUUGGAUGCCUAGCCUCUGUAAAGCUCUUUCGACGAGUCGAGUAGUUUGGGAAUGCUGCUCUAAAUGGGAGGUAAAUUUCUUCUAAAGCUAAAUACCGGCCAGAGACCGAUAGCGCACAAGUAGAGUGAUCGAAAGAUGAAAAGCACUUUGAAAAGAGGGUUAAAUAGCACGUGAAAUUGUUGAAAGGGAAGCGCUUAUGACCAGACUUUUACCUGGCGGAUCAUCCGGCGUUCUCGCCGGUGCACUUCGCUAGGUUGAGGCCAGCAUCGAUUUUUGUAGGGGGAUAAAGACUUCGGGAAAGUAGCUCUCUCCGGGGAGUGUUAUAGCCCGCUGUGUAAUACCCUUACGGGGAUCGAGGUUCGCGCUCUGCAAGGAUGCUGGCAUAAUGGUCAUCAGUGACCCGUCUUGAAACACGGACCAAGGAGUCGAACAUUUAUGCGAGUGUUUGGGUGUUAAACCCUCACGCGUAAUGAAAGUGAACGGAGGUGAGAGCCCUUAAGGGUGCAUCAUCGACCGAUCCUGAAGUCUUCGGAUGGAUUUGAGUAAGAGCAUAACUGUUCGGACCCGAAAGAUGGUGAACUAUGCGUGGAUAGGGUGAAGCCAGAGGAAACUCUGGUGGAGGCUCGCAGCGGUUCUGACGUGCAAAUCGAUCGUCAAAUCUGCGCAUGGGGGCGAAAGACUAAUCGAACCAUUAACGGAGAGACCAGCGGUAAAUAAUUAUUUACUAGGUGGUUAAUAGGCUUCUUGCGAGAGGAAGCCUAGGUCGGACUUACCCGGGAUGAACCGGGUAACCCUUACCCGGGACCUACCCGGUAGCUCCCUACCCGGGAGUUACCCUGUAGUACCGGGUAGCCGGCCGACACCGCUAAAUUGCGGGGACAUCCUACAGAAGGCUCCAGGCUACCGCCGCGUGCUGAAAAGCGUCCGCGGCACCAAGAAUAGCGCUCUUGKGUAUGGUAAAAACGCCUGGGGUAUCGGACGACCUGCAGCCAACCCCGCCAGCCCUAGAAGGGCCCAGGGGAGAGUUCACUGACUAAACAGCGGUGGGUCUUGCGGCGAGAGCCGUAGGGCUUWAGACAUAGUCGAUCUGGGCCCUGAAAAGGUGACCCUAAAGUAU
This 1273-nucleotide ribosomal RNA is filed under the name Lepteutypa sp. RNAcentral describes it as "partial large subunit ribosomal RNA". Lineage: Eukaryota; Fungi; Ascomycota; Sordariomycetes; Amphisphaeriales; Amphisphaeriaceae. The record is from RNAcentral.